RNAcentral lists this long non-coding RNA (1797 nucleotides) under Homo sapiens (human). RNAcentral's name for it is "HSALNT0178517". The record is from RNAcentral. Lineage: Eukaryota; Metazoa; Chordata; Mammalia; Primates; Hominidae.
GGGAGAGCUGGAGUUCGGACGGCCAAGUUCACGGAAAGCGCAGCUGGGGAGGAGCCAAGGUAUUUAUUAUGCUUGGUCUCCAGUUCCAAACAGAGCUGAUGGAUGGAGCUGCUCCAGUUCCUAUAAACAGCUCGGGCCUCCCUCUCCCCCACCCCGCCCUCCCCAUUCUCAGCCACCACAGCCCAACUGUUUCCAGUGCGAUAGGGGUGGGGGUGGGGGGAGAUGACCAAGAAGAGAAGAAUGGGAGACGAGGGGGAGCAAAGGAGGGGGGGAGGACAAAGAUAAGACGGGGUCCUAGAGGCCUGAGGAAGCUGCAGGGAAUGGAGGGUGGUCAGAGAGGAUUCUUUGCCUCCCCACUGGCCCCUGCUGCCGUGGGCAGCCCACAGUCUGCAUUCCCCUGUCCUCUCUGUGUCCCCUAGGCAGACACCCAAUGCUGAGGGCAGCCCAGACCUGUGGGCAGCUGGAGGAGAGAAAUCCAGACAGUCUCCCCAGAGAAGGUGAUGGAGGUGAUACAGGCGAGGGUGGUGAAGGAGAUUGUGCAGGUGGGUGGGGGGGUGAGCUGGUUCCGGCAGAGGAGGCGGGAGAGGUGCAGGAGGCAGUGCUGCCUAAUGGUUAAGACUGCUGGCUCCAGAGUGGGACAGCCUGGGUUCAAGUCUCAUCGCUGGAGCUCAGUUCUCUAAAAUGAGGAUGGUAACAGUAGAAAUCUCUUCAACGGCUGUCAGAAUUAAACAUGACAAUCCACAUCCAGUGCUCAGCAUGGGCCCGCCCGGAAGUGCUCAACAAUGGCCAUCUCUGAGCAUGUUGUGAGAGGUGGCGGGAGAGAGAUGGGCCUCAUGGGCUCAGUGAACUGCCUGAAGGACAGGGGCACAGAACACAGACGGUGGGUCCCAGAUCCUGGAGGAUGUGGCCAGCCUGUGGGUCUGAGAGGGUGAGUUGCUGGCGCGUCCCGGGACCCGUUCCUGGUGGAGUGCCACGCCAGCGCAUGGAACCCCAGGAGUUGGGCCCUGCACCUCAGGCUGACUGUGACCUGGGAGUGGCAGGGCCUCCCCUCUCCCUGCAAGCUAAGAGCUCGGGAAGCUGGAUGUUCUGAUGACCUAGUUGGCUGCUGUGUCCACGUUUGGCUGAAAACAGGAAUUUCUGCCUCACCGGGGGUCUUGGCCAGGUGAGCAAACUCCCUGUUUGUCAGGAAAAGGGGUCAGGGGCCUGCUGGGCUCCCUGCUGGAGCAGAGGCCCGCAGACCCUAGGCGAGCUCAGCCCAAGCUCCUGCUUUCCCCUUAGGCCUUCACGGAGCACCUAUCGUGUGCCAGGGGGUGGGGCUCUCUCCUUUCUCCCCCAGCCCUACCCCAUGAAAUAGGUGUUUAGAAUUUCCCUUUGCAGACUGGGAGCCAGGAGCAGGAAUGGGGAGGUGAGAGGGCACGGACCAGAGAAACGGAAGAAUCUCCAGGAGGCAGAGCUGCCAACGCUGGGCCCAGGGGCUGCAGGGCCAAGGGGAGGGGUCCAGGCUGACUCGGGGUGGGCAGGAGAAGCAUCACUGAGCAGGAGCUUGGGGGAGAGGCAGUCAGGGAAGGGAAGGGCAAAGGCGCAGUGCCAGGCUGCUGACAGGGCGAAAUGGAAGGUGUGAGGGCCAGAGGAAUAAGCACCCCCUGCUCUGCAUGCUCUGCCCUGGCCUGUCACGCCUCUCAGUGCUCCCCUACCCAGGUGAGGCUGCUUCUGUCCCACACCCGACACUCACCCUCCAACUCCAAGCCAGGAACCAGGUGUGGUUUUCUUCCAAGUUCAACCUUGAUCUGCAGCCUG